This 1763-nucleotide unclassified non-coding RNA is filed under the name Leishmania donovani. Its description in RNAcentral is "gene:LdHU3.15.0450(CDS-product:inhibitor_of_serin e_peptidase_(ISP)_putative)". The record is from RNAcentral. Lineage: Eukaryota; Euglenozoa; Kinetoplastea; Trypanosomatida; Trypanosomatidae.
CACACGCACACACGCUAGCCGAAUCCCCAUCCCCAUCAUGUCAUACUGCAAGAUCGAGGCCCCGUACCCGACGGCAGAGGCCGGCGAGAAGCGGAUCAUCUUUGCCCUUGACCCCAAGGGCGAUGAGGCGGAGCAGGAGCAGUACAUGCUGCAGCUUAUCCCUGGCCGUGUGUUGGAAAUGUCGCGCAACGACGCCGCGAAUCAUCAGACGCUCGGGGGCAGCAUUGAGCAGCACACAGUAGAGGGUUGGGGUGCCAAGUUCUUCCACGUGAAACUGGCGAAGCAGGCCGCCUCCACGCUCAUGCACGUCCACGAUGAGGACCACAGCGAGAAGGUUCGCAAGUUCGUCGCCAUGCCCAACGCACCCUUGUUCCCGUACAGAAGCCGCUGCCCGGUCGUGGUGUAUCUACCCAACGAUGCGGAGCUGCGCUACGGCAUCUGGUGCGGAGGUCAGCAGAUGCAGGCGGUCACGGAGUAAGACAUCUGCUUUCUAGCUCGCUCGCUCGUUGUGUUUAUCACCUUAGCGAUCGUCCGCUGGGCUUCAUUGUUCACGACCUCAUCCUCUUCCCUUCUCCCCUCCUGACUUGUCGCUCUGUCGGCAUCUCUGUGCUUGUGUGCCACUAGACAGGGCACCUCUCGCCUCUUCUCAUUCUCCACACCCCCUAACCCCCUACCAGCUCAUCAGCCACCUCACCCUGCGCCGCGCAAUUCUUUGCGCUCUUCCCCUGACUCUGCACCUCAUAAGGAUUAUUUUUUUUUGACGCCUGCGCGCUUGCUUCCUCGCCCUUUUUCUUCUGCAGCUCUGUAAUAUCGUGCGUCUCUGUCUGUGUCUGUGUGUGCGUCCGUGUCUUUCCUCCGCAGUCGCGUUCACGGCCAAAGUGUGGUUCCUCUCUUCGUCUUCUGCUCUUCUCAUCGCUUCCACGUAGAGCUGCGUGGGCUGUGCCGCAGUGUGUGUGUGUGUGUGUGUGUGCUGGGCCCCGGUGUGCUCCCUCCCCUCUUCAUCUCCUCACUGACCUGUUUUUUUUUUUUUUGACUUAUCAACUCUUCUUCAUCGUUUCUCCCUCCCUCUCUCUCUAUCUGUGGUGGGCUUGGUGCAGACACACAGGCGCACACACGCAGACAGAGAGAGGGAGAGCAGACACACGCACACACACACGCGCGUAAGCAUAUAUAUAUAUAUAUAUGAAUGCAUAUGAGCACAGAGAGAGAGCCUCCCUCUCGUCGGUUGAUGGCUCAUCCUUUUCUUCCCUUUAAAGAGCGUGCGCAGGCCUGAAGAAUGCCACCCCGCCCCUCCCCUUCUCAGCCCCCCGCACUACAUGCACAAGGAACGACAAGAAAGAGGAAAAGCGAGGGAGAAGUGAUGAUGAAGCAACUGAAAAAGAACGGAAGAACAACGGGGAUGCGCGCGCGCUCCCCCCCCCCGCCCGCCACGAGGGACCCGCGCAGCCACGGCAGAGUCGAACACAUAAGCAUCUACGCCAUAGCAUCGCUUUUGUCUCCUUGGGUUAUCGAUGCAUUAACCUCGACUAGCCUGCCCCACCCUGCAUUCAGCAACAUGCCUAUGCGUGUCGUGCCGUGAUGUGUGCACAAAAGAGGGGAGGAGGCCCAUGGCUUUGAUGCAGGGAGGGAGGUAAAGCAAGCGAUCACGAUACACGAUCGGUGGCACGUGCGCACUGCCGCUGCCCAGGUGGUGCGAGGAGACCCACAUUGAUGCACGUCAGCAUUCACAGGGGGUCUCUUUGUGGAGUUUCUCUUUCGACUCG